RNAcentral lists this ribosomal RNA (444 nucleotides) under uncultured bacterium. RNAcentral describes it as "partial 16S ribosomal RNA". It matches the Rfam family "Bacterial small subunit ribosomal RNA", at positions 339 to 795 of the family's 1533-position model. The record is from RNAcentral.
CUACGGGUCGCAGCAGUGGGGAAUAUUGCACAAUGGGCGAAAGCCUGAUGCAGCAACGCCGCGUGAGGGACGACGGCCUUCGGGUUGUAAACCUCUUUUAGCAGGGAAGAAGCGAAAGUGACGGUGCCUGCAGAAAAAGCACCGGCUAACUACGUGCCGGCAGCCGCGGUAAUACGUAGGGUGCAAGCGUUGUCCGGAAUUAUUGGGCGUAAAGAGCUCGUAGGCGGGUUGUCGCGUCUGCUGUGAAAAUCCGAGGCUCAACCUCGGACCUGCAGUGGGUACGGGCAAACUAGAGUGCGGUAGGGGAGAUUGGAAUUCCUGGUGUAGCGGUGGAAUGCGCAGAUAUCAGGAGGAACACCAAUGGCGAAGGCAGAUCUCUGGGCCGUAACUGACGCUGAGGAGCGAAAGCGUGGGGAGCGAACAGGAUUAGAUACCCGCGUAGUC